RNAcentral lists this transfer RNA (72 nucleotides) under Camelus bactrianus (Bactrian camel). It matches the Rfam family "tRNA". From Rfam's summary of the family: Transfer RNA (tRNA) molecules are approximately 80 nucleotides in length. The record is from Rfam by way of RNAcentral. RNAcentral also lists the same sequence under 2 other names. Lineage: Eukaryota; Metazoa; Chordata; Mammalia; Artiodactyla; Camelidae.
GAGGAGGUAGCUCAGUGGUAGAGCGUGUGCUUGGCAUGCAUGAGGUCCUGGGUUCAAUUCCCAGCAUCCCCA